RNAcentral lists this ribosomal RNA (516 nucleotides) under uncultured bacterium. RNAcentral describes it as "bacterial SSU rRNA". It matches the Rfam family "Bacterial small subunit ribosomal RNA", at positions 992 to 1509 of the family's 1533-position model. The record is from RNAcentral.
AGAAUUUAGCAGAGAUGCUUUAGUGCCUUCGGGAACUCUGAGACAGGUGCUGCAUGGCUGUCGUCAGCUCGUGUUGUGAAAUGUUGGGUUAAGUCCCGNAACGAGCGCAACCCUUAUCCUUGUGCCAGCACGUAAUGGUGGGAACUCAAAGGAGACUGCCGGUGAUAAACCGGAGGAAGGUGGGGAUGACGUCAAGUCAUCAUGGCCCUUACGAGUAGGGCUACACACGUGCUACAAUGGCGCAUACAAAGAGAAGCGACCUCGCGAGAGCAAGCGGACCUCAUAAAGUGCGUCGUAGUCCGGAUUGGAGUCUGCAACUCGACUCCAUGAAGUCGGAAUCGCUAGUAAUCGUAAAUCAGAAUGUUACGGUGAAUACGUUCCCGGGCCUUGUACACACCGCCCGUCACACCAUGGGAGUGGGUUGCAAAAGAAGUAGAUAGCUUAACCUUCGGGAGGGCGUUUACCACUUUGUGAUUCAUGACUGGGGUGAAGUCGUAACAAGGUAGGCGUAGUGCU